GGGCCCGCACAAGCGGUGGAGCAUGUGGUUUAAUUCGAUGCAACGCGAAGAACCUUACCUACCCUUGACAUCCUGCGAAUCUGAUAGAGAUAUCGGAGUGCCUUCGGGAAUGCAGAGACAGGUGCUGCAUGGCUGUCGUCAGCUCGUGUUGUGAAAUGUUGGGUUAAGUCCCGUAACGAGCGCAACCCUUGUCCUUAGUUGCCAGCGAUUCGGUCGGGGACUCUAAGGAGACUGCCGGUGACAAACCGGAGGAAGGUGGGGACGACGUCAAGUCAUCAUGGCCCUUACGGGUAGGGCUACACACGUGCUACAAUGGUUGGUACAGAGGGAAGCGAGACCGCGAGGUGGAG
This 350-nucleotide ribosomal RNA is filed under the name uncultured bacterium. RNAcentral describes it as "bacterial SSU rRNA". It matches the Rfam family "Bacterial small subunit ribosomal RNA", at positions 917 to 1267 of the family's 1533-position model. The record is from RNAcentral.